Molecule: ribosomal RNA, 508 nt
Filed under: uncultured bacterium
Lineage: Bacteria
Description: partial 16S ribosomal RNA
Rfam family: Bacterial small subunit ribosomal RNA
Source: RNAcentral
ACUCAAAGGAAUUGACGGGGGCCUGCACAAGCGGUGGAGUAUGUGGCUCAAUUCGAUGCAACGCGAAGAACCUUACCUGGCCUUGACAUGCACGUAGUAGAAGGGUGAAAGCCUAACGAGGUAGCAAUACCAGCGUGCACAGGUGCUGCAUGGCUGUCGUCAGCUCGUGUCGUGAGAUGUUGGGUUAAGUCCCGCAACGAGCGCAACCCUUGUGUCCUGUUGCCACCCGAUCGCAAGAUCGGAGCACUCGGGACAGACUGCCUCGCUUAAACGAGGAGGAAGGUGAGGAUGACGUCAAGUCAGUAUGGCCCUUACGGCCAGGGCUGCACACGUACUACAAUGCCCGGCACAAAGGGAAGCAAGACCGCAAGGUGGAGCAAAUCCCCAAAAACCGGGCCCAGUUCAGAUUGUCGUCUGCAACUCGACGGCAUGAAGCUGGAAUCGCUAGUAAUGGCGCAUCAGCUACGGCGCCGUGAAUACGUUCCCAGGCCUUGUACACACCGCCCGU